AGACCCGAAACCCGGUGAUCUAGCCAUGGGCAGGUUGAAGGUUGGGUAACACUAACUGGAGGACCGAACCGACUAAUGUUGAAAAAUUAGCGGAUGACCUGUGGCUGGGGGUGAAAGGCCAAUCAAACCGGGAGAUAGCUGGUUCUCCCCGAAAGCUAUUUAGGUAGCGCCUCGUGAAUUCAUCUCCGGGGGUAGAGCACUGUUUCGGCUAGGGGGCCAUCCCGGCUUACCAACCCGAUGCAAACUGCGAAUACCGGAGAAUGUUAUCACGGGAGACACACGGCGGGUGCUAACGUCCGUCGUGAAGAGGGAAACAACCCAGACCGCCAGCUAAGGUCCCAAAGUCAUGGUUAAGUGGGAAACGAUGUGGGAAGGCCCAGACAGCCAGGAUGUUGGCUUAGAAGCAGCCAUCAUUUAAAGAAAGCGUAAUAGCUCACUGGUCGAGUCGGCCUGCGCGGAAGAUGUAACGGGGCUAAACCAUGCACCGAAGCUGCGGCAGCGAACGUAUCACCCAAGACAACUUUACGGAGUUGGCGAUUGACGGAGCGAAGCGACGUCAAAGCGUUCAUUAAAGUCGAGUUGGCUUAGGGAUACGUUCGUUGGGUAGGGGAGCGUUCUGUAAGCCUGUGAAGGUGUGUCGUGAGGCAUGCUGGAGGUAUCAGAAGUGCGAAUGCUGACAUAAGUAACGAUAAAGCGGGUGAAAAGCCCGCUCGCCGGAAGACCAAGGGUUCCUGUCCAACGUUAAUCGGGGCAGGGUGAGUCGACCCCUAAGGCGAGGCCGAAAGGCGUAGUCGAUGGGAAACGGGUUAAUAUUCCCGUACUUGGUGUUACUGCGAAGGGGGGACGGAGAAGGCUAUGUUGGCCGGGCGACGGUUGUCCCGGUUUAAGCGUGUAGGUGUGUGUUCCAGGUAAAUCCGGUUCACUUUAACACUGAGGCGUGAUGACGAGGCACUACGGUGCUGAAGCAACAAAUGCCCUGCUUCCAGGAAAAGCCUCUAAGCAUCAGGUAACAUCAAAUCGUACCCCAAACCGACACAGGUGGUCAGGUAGAGAAUACCAAGGCGCUUGAGAGAACUCGGGUGAAGGAACUAGGCAAAAUGGUGCCGUAACUUCGGGAGAAGGCACGCUGACACGUAGGUGAAGUGAUUUACUCAUGGAGCUGAAGUCAGUCGAAGAUACCAGCUGGCUGCAACUGUUUAUUAAAAACACAGCACUGUGCAAACACGAAAGUGGACGUAUACGGUGUGACGCCUGCCCGGUGCCGGAAGGUUAAUUGAUGGGGUCAGCGUAAGCGAAGCUCCUGAUCGAAGCCCCGGUAAACGGCGGCCGUAACUAUAACGGUCCUAAGGUAGCGAAAUUCCUUGUCGGGUAAGUUCCGACCUGCACGAAUGGCGUAAUGAUGGCCAGGCUGUCUCCACCCGAGACUCAGUGAAAUUGAACUCGCUGUGAAGAUGCAGUGUACCCGCGGCAAGACGGAAAGACCCCGUGAACCUUUACUAUAGCUUGACACUGAACAUUGAGCCUUGAUGUGUAGGAUAGGUGGGAGGCUUUGAAGUGUGGACGCCAGUCUGCAUGGAGCCGACCUUGAAAUACCACCCUUUAAUGUUUGAUGUUCUAACGUGGACCCGUAAUCCGGGUUGCGGACAGUGUCUGGUGGGUAGUUUGACUGGGGCGGUCUCCUCCUAAAGAGUAACGGAGGAGCACGAAGGUUGGCUAAUCCUGGUCGGACAUCAGGAGGUUAGUGCAAUGGCAUAAGCCAGCUUGACUGCGAGCGUGACGGCGCGAGCAGGUGCGAAAGCAGGUCAUAGUGAUCCGGUGGUUCUGAAUGGAAGGGCCAUCGCUCAACGGAUAAAAGGUACUCCGGGGAUAACAGGCUGAUACCGCCCAAGAGUUCAUAUCGACGGCGGUGUUUGGCACCUCGAUGUCGGCUCAUCACAUCCUGGGGCUGAAGUAGGUCCCAAGGGUAUGGCUGUUCGCCAUUUAAAGUGGUACGCGAGCUGGGUUUAGAACGUCGUGAGACAGUUCGGUCCCUAUCUGCCGUGGGCGCUGGAGAACUGAGGGGGGCUGCUCCUAGUACGAGAGGACCGGAGUGGACGCAUCACUGGUGUUCGGGUUGUCAUGCCAAUGGCACUGCCCGGUAGCUAAAUGCGGAAGAGAUAAGUGCUGAAAGCAUCUAAGCACGAAACUUGCCCCGAGAUGAGUUCUCCCUGAGACUUAGAGUCUCCUGAAGGAACGUUGAAGACGACGACGUUGAUAGGCCGGGUGUGUAAGCGCAGCGAUGCGUUGAGCUAACCGGUACUAAUGAACCGUGAGGCUUAACCUU
RNAcentral lists this ribosomal RNA (2323 nucleotides) under Salmonella enterica. Its description in RNAcentral is "partial 23S ribosomal RNA". It matches the Rfam family "Bacterial large subunit ribosomal RNA", at positions 711 to 2925 of the family's 2925-position model. Lineage: Bacteria; Pseudomonadati; Pseudomonadota; Gammaproteobacteria; Enterobacterales; Enterobacteriaceae. The record is from RNAcentral.